Molecule: RNA transcript, 1264 nt
Organism: Nycticebus coucang (slow loris)
Lineage: Eukaryota; Metazoa; Chordata; Mammalia; Primates; Lorisidae
Gene name: regulator of G-protein signaling 19-like
Exons: 1
Source: RefSeq, a predicted model, not a curated record
ACGACCAGGCCGGACCUCAGAAGGUGCGGGCCGGCAGCGGCGCGAGUGGCUCGGGAGCGCGGCUGACCCCCAGGCUGUGGUGAGGGUCCGGGAGCUGGCACCACGGAGCCUGGGCAACCUCCUCUGCCCACCCAUGCCCACCCCGCAUGAGGCUGAGAAACAGCACACAGGGCCCGAGGAGGCAGACCGGCCCCCCUCAAUGACUAGCCAUGAUGUGGCCCCCCAGGUGGCCCCUGGCCGCGACCCCUGCUGCCUGUGCUGGUGUUGCUGCUGCAGCUGCUCCUGGAAUGAAGAGCGGCGGCGGCGAGUGUGGCAGGCCUCCCGGGAUAGCAAGCUGCAGCCCCUCCCCAGCUGUGAAGUGUGUGCCACACUGAGCCCUGAGGAGGUACAGAGCUGGGCCCAGUCCUUCGACAAGCUGAUGCACAGUCCAGCAGGGCGCAGUGUGUUCCGGGCCUUCCUGCGCACAGAGUAUAAUGAGGAAAACAUGCUCUUCUGGCUGGCGUGCGAGGAUUUGAAAGCCAAGGCCAACCAGCACGUGGUGGACGAGAAGGCACGGCUCAUCUACGAGGACUAUGUAUCCAUCCUGUCCCCCAAGGAGGUGAGCCUGGACUCCCGCGUGCAGAGGGCAUCAACAAGAAGAUGCAGGAGCCAUCCGCGCACACGUUUGACGAUGCGCAGCUGCAGAUCUACACACUCAUGCACCGGGAUUCCUACCCUCGCUUCCUCAGCUCUCCCACCUACUGUGCCCUGCUGCUCCGGGGAGCCUCACAGUCUUCCUCCGAGUCCUAGGUGGCCCCUGUGACAGACACUAGGCCCCUUAGGGGCAGACUCUGGGCUACUCCAUGUGUGCGUGCCAGUGGGGGUAUCAGGGCACACCAAGGGGCAGUCCCAGCCCCAGAGGGAAACGCUGCAUCCCCUGGCUCUGCCCUCAGCCCAGUGGGAGCUUCAGGUACAAGGUGGCCAGAAGUUCCUCAAGGCUGCUCAGUGCUCUGCAUGUUGGGAGGGGCUUCAUGGGAAGCCUCGACCUGCAAGCCUCAUGGGCACCUCUGUCCCACACAGCUGGCAGCGAAGAUUUUGCCUUUCUUUGGUGCAGAGCAGGACCUUCACGUUACCCAGUUUUGUAACAUGAGCCCUCUGCACCCCAGAGUCAGACCCAGAACUUCAGAACCCGAUGUGAAACCUCAUAAUCAGGCUCAAGGUGACAGGACCCAAUUUCUACAAGUAUUUUAUAUGUUCAUGAACUUCAAACCUGGAAAUAUGUCCU